RNAcentral lists this long non-coding RNA (461 nucleotides) under Hordeum vulgare. Its description in RNAcentral is "long non-coding RNA (HVUL_LNC007083)". Lineage: Eukaryota; Viridiplantae; Streptophyta; Magnoliopsida; Poales; Poaceae. The record is from RNAcentral.
GGCUCGGACAAGCGCUCUGGGUGAACCUAGAGCAUGCACAACACCUGUUCGACGAAUUGCCAGGCAUCACCACAGGGCUCCACUUCUGCUCUAACUUAACAGGGUUAGACUAUGGACUAAGGGAAAGCUACUGGAUAUGUUGGCCUGAGUGGAGGGGCAACUCCACAAUGCAAACAUAGACUCAUGCCAAAUCUGGUCAUGCUCCAAGGUGUUUGAUGAAAUGCCAUGGCUCCAAAUGGUCUUUGAUACCCACCAAACUUUCCAGACCAAGGUCUCUCUAGGUGCUAGGAAUGUAGGUAGGGUUGGUUUGGCAAAAAUCCAAAAUAGCUAAUGCAAACUUUUGAAAAAUGCAAUUCUAGGCUGAAACUAGGAGUUGUUCACUUGCAUCUUCUUUCAUCAAAUGGAGCUAAAUUCCUAGAGUUAAGGUUUUGGUAGGGUGCCAUACAAGAAUGCAAAAUUUC